Molecule: ribosomal RNA, 497 nt
Filed under: uncultured bacterium
Lineage: Bacteria
Description: partial 16S ribosomal RNA
Rfam family: Bacterial small subunit ribosomal RNA
Source: RNAcentral
GAUGAACGCUGGCGGCGUGCCUAAUACAUGCAAGUCGAGCGAACAGAUAAGGAGCUUGCUCCUUUGACGUUAGCGGCGGACGGGUGAGUAACACGUGGGUAACCUAUCUAUAAGACUGGAAUAACUCCGGGAAACCGGGGCUAAUGCCGGAUAACAUGUUGAACCGCAUGGUUCUACAGUGAAAGGCGGCUUUGCUGUCACUUAUAGAUGGACCCGCGCCGUAUUAGCUAGUUGGUGAGGUAACGGCUCACCAAGGCAACGAUACGUAGCCGACCUGAGAGAGUGAUCGGCCACACUGGAACUGAGACACGGUCCAGACUCCUACGGGAGGCAGCAGUAGGGAAUCUUCCGCAAUGGGCGAAAGCCUGACGGAGCAACGCCGCGUGAGUGAUGAAGGUCUUCGGAUCGUAAAACUCUGUUAUUAGGGAAGAACAAAUGCGUAAGUAACUGUGCGCGUCUUGACGGUACCUAAUCAGAAAGCCACGGCUAACUACGUG